UCAUAUUGUUCUGCCCGUUCGAUAUCAUUUUCCGAUCAAAUCGCUUCUUUUUUCUUCGUUGUAUGUUUCACUGUAUUUGCGCUCCUCUGUACAAGGUGACACUUCCUGAUUUUUUCUUGGCGGACCAAUUAACAAGCCAGGUGCAAGGAUUUAGAAGUCUGGAAUUCUACAUUUGCUACUAUGGUUGGGGAGACUAUAAGAACAGAGAAACUACUUGC
Molecule: non-coding RNA, 218 nt
Organism: Camellia sinensis
Lineage: Eukaryota; Viridiplantae; Streptophyta; Magnoliopsida; Ericales; Theaceae
Source: RefSeq, a predicted model, not a curated record